GAAAUGCGAUAAGUAGUGUGAAUUGCAGAAUUCAGUGAAUCAUCGAAUCUUUGAACGCACAUUGCGCCCUUUGGUAUUCCAAAGGGCAUGCCUGUUCGAGCGUCAUUUGUACCCUCAAGCUUUGCUUGGUGUUGGGCGUCUUGUCUCCAGUUCGCUGGAGACUCGCCUUAAAGUAAUUGGCAGCCGGCCUACUGGUUUCGGAGCGCAGCACAAGUCGCGCUCUCUUCCAGCCAAGGUCAGCAUCCACAAAGCCUUUUUUCAACUUUUGACCUCGGAUCAGGUAGGGAUACCCGCUGAACUUAAGC
RNAcentral lists this unclassified non-coding RNA (305 nucleotides) under plant metagenome. Its description in RNAcentral is "partial contains 5.8S ribosomal RNA, internal transcribed spacer 2, and large subunit ribosomal RNA". The stretch from base 1 to 105 matches the Rfam family "5.8S ribosomal RNA", at positions 50 to 154 of the family's 154-position model. The record is from RNAcentral.